RNAcentral lists this non-coding RNA (966 nucleotides) under Capito niger. RNAcentral describes it as "12S ribosomal RNA". It matches the Rfam family "Bacterial small subunit ribosomal RNA". The record is from RNAcentral. Lineage: Eukaryota; Metazoa; Chordata; Aves; Piciformes; Ramphastidae.
AAAAGACUUAGUCCUAACCUUACAGUUGGUUCCUACCAAACCUAUACAUGCAAGUAUCCGCAACCCGGUGCAAAUGCCCUCAGCCUCUUGAUAAGACAGAAGGAGCUGGCAUCAGGCUCGCCCGCGCANCCCAUAACGCCUUGCUCAGCCACACCCCCACGGGUUCUCAACAGUAAUUGACAUUAAGCAAUAAGUGUAAACUUGACUUAGUUAUGGUAGACCAGGGUUGGUAAAUCUUGUGCCAGCCACCGCGGUCAUNCAAGAAACCCAAAUCAACCGUACACGGCGUAAAGAGUGGCCCCAAUACUAUCCACACUAACUAGGGCCAAACUACAACUGAGCUGUCAUAAGCCUAAGAUGUACCAAAAUCCAAUAUUAAUAUACCCCUAGCACCAAGGAAUGACCGCUCNNANNAAAGCCAGGGAACAAACUGGGAUUAGAUACCCCACUAUGCCUGGCCCUAAAUCCCGACGUUCACUUANACCCUAACGUCCGCCCGGGAACUACGAGCAUAAACGCUUAAAACCCUAAGGACUUGGCGGUGCCCCAAAACCCCCUAGAGGAGCCUGUUCUAUAAUCGAUAACCCACGCUACACCCAACCUCCUCUUGCUUAAACAGCCUAUAUACCGCCGUCGUCAGCCCACCUCCAAUGAGAGUACAACAGUGAGCUUAAUAACCUUAACCGUUAAUAAGACAGGUCAAGGUAUAGCCUAUGAGGAGGAAAGAAAUGGGCUACAUUUUCUAACCUAGACUAAUGCACGAAAAGAAGCCUGAAACAGCUUCCAGAAGGAGGAUUUAGCAGUAAGACAUGAUAAUUAAGCCUGUCUUAAGCCGGCCCUGGGGUACGUACAUACCGCCCGUCACCCUCUUCGCAAGCCACACCCACAACUAACUAAUCCCCCGAUUAGCUGAAGAUGAGGUAAGUCGUAACAAGGUAAGCGUACCGGAAGGUGCGCUUAGAAUAU